AGUGGUUGUAGACGCGAAACCUUGCGAUCUACCCUUGAGCAGGUUGAAGGUUGGGUAAAACCAACUGGAGGACCGAACGAAUAAGCGUUGAAAAGCUUCUCGAUGACUUGAGGGUAGGGGUGAAAGGCUAAUCAAGCUGGGAAAUAGCUCGUACUCCCCGAAAUGCCUUUUGGGGCAGCGUUGUAAUAAAGAGUCUACUGGAGGUAGAGCUACUGAUUGGAUGCGGGGGCUUCACCGCCUACCAAAUCCUGACAAACUCCGAAUGCCAGUAGUAUGAUUUACAGCAGUGAGUGACUGGGUGCUAAUGUCCAGUCGCAAAAGAGGAACAACUCAGACCAGCAACUAAGGUCCCGAAGAAUAUGCUAAGUUGAUCUAACGAUGUUUUGUUGCAGAGACAGCUAGGAUGUUAGCUUGGAAGCAGCUAUUCAUUCAAAGAGUGCGUAACAGCUCACUAGUCGAGCGACAGAGCGUGGAUAAUAAACGGGCAUCAAGCAUAUCACCGAAGUUCUGGGCGCGAGAGCGCGGUAGGGGAGCAUUCCAUUCAGCGUCGAAGCAGUUUCGUGAGGAAUUGUGGAGCGUAUGGAAAAGCAAAUGUAGGCAUGAGUAACGAUAAUGCGGGAGAGUAACCCGCACACCGCAAGACCAAGGUUUCCUGAUCAACGCUAAUCGGAUCAGGGUUAGUCGGGUCCUAAGGGUAAGCCGAACGGCGAUCUCGAUGGAUAAUCGGUUAAUAUUCCGAUACUAACAUAUACCUCGAUGGAGAGACGAAGGAACGUAAGUGCCGCCACCUGACGGAAUAGGUGGUUAAAGGGCGUAGGUAUAGGGGCAGAUUAAGAGUUAGUCCUUGCUGAAACCUGACAGUACAGAGAGCCUACGGGCAAUUUGAUAGAGCACCCAAGUCGACUUCCGAGAAAAUCUUCUAAGUUAUAGUAUAUGUUACCCGUACCGUAAACCGACACAGGUGGUCGAGGAGAGUAUCCUAAGGUGCUCGAGUGAAUCACGGUUAAGGAACUAGGCAAAUUAACCCCGUAACUUCGGGAAAAGGGGUCCCUAUGAAAGUAGGGCGCAGCGAAGAGGUCCAGGCGACUGUUUAUCAAAAACACAGGGCUCUGCAAAUUCGAAAGAAGACGUAUAGGGCCUGACACCUGCCCGGUGCUGGAAGGUUAAGAGGGGAUGUCAUCGCAAGAGAAGCAUUGAAUCGAAGCCCCAGUAAACGGCGGCCGUAACUAUAACGGUCCUAAGGUAGCGAAAUUCCUUGUCGGGUAAGUUCCGACCUGCACGAAUGGUGUAACGAUCUGGACACUGUCUCAACCGUGAGCUCGGUGAAAUUGUAGUCCCGGUGAUGAUGCCGGGUACCCGCAACGGGACGAAAAGACCCCGUGAACCUUUACUAUAGCUUAACGCUGAAUUUGGGUACACAAUGUGUAGGAUAGGCCGGAGGCUUUGAAGCGGGCACGCCAGUGUUCGUGGAGCCGACGUUGAAAUACGGCCCUUUGUGUAUUUGAGUUCUAACCCUGCGAAGGGGACACCGUUUGGUGGGUAGUUUGACUGGGGUGGUCGCCUCCAAAAGCGUAACGGAGGCUUCCCAAGGUACCCUCAGCACGAAUGGUAACCGUGCGCGGAGUGCAAUAGCAUAAGGGUGCUUGACUGUGAGACAUACAAGUCGACCAGGUACGAAAGUAGGGUAUAGUGAUCCGGUGGUUCUGCGUGGACUGGCCAUCGCUCAAAGGAUAAAAGGUACUCCGGGGAUAACAGGCUGAUCGCCGCCAAGAGCUCAUAUCGACGCGGCGGUUUGGCACCUCGAUGUCGGCUCGUCACAUCCUGGGGCUGGAGAAGGUCCCAAGGGUUCGGCUGUUCGCCGAUUAAAGUGGCACGCGAGCUGGGUUCAGAACGUCGUGAGACAGUUCGGUCUCUAUCUGUUGCGGGCGUAGGAAGAUUGAGGGGUCCUGACUUUAGUACGAGAGGACCGAGUUGGACGAACCUCCGGUGUAUCGGUUAUGCUGCCAAGUGUACUGCCGAGUAGCCGCGUUCGGUCUGGAUAAGCGCUGAAAGCAUCUAAGCGCGAAGCCAUCCCCAAGAUAAGUCUUCCCUUGAGGGGCGUAGGAGACUACUACGUUGAUAGGCUGCAGGUGUAAAGACAGCAAUGUCAAAGCCGAGCAGUACUAAUUACCCGAUAGGCUUUCUUUU
RNAcentral lists this ribosomal RNA (2187 nucleotides) under human gut metagenome. RNAcentral describes it as "bacterial LSU rRNA". It matches the Rfam family "Bacterial large subunit ribosomal RNA", at positions 702 to 2925 of the family's 2925-position model. The record is from RNAcentral.